ACGGAAGGCAGCAGUGGGGAAUAUUGCACAAUGGGCGCAAGCCUGAUGCAGCGAUGCCGCGUGAGGGAAGAAGGUUUUCGGAUUGUAAACCUCUGUCAUCGGGGACGAUAAUGACUGUACCCGAGAAGGAAGCUCCGGCUAACUACGUGCCAGCAGCCGCGGUAAUACGUAGGGAGCGAGCGUUAUCCGGAAUUACUGGGUGUAAAGGGAGUGUAGGCGGGACUGUAAGUCAGAUGUGAAAUAUACCGGCUCAACUGGUAGACUGCAUUUGAAACUGCGGUUCUUGAGUGAAGUAGAGGUUGGCGGAAUUCCGAGUGUAGCGGUGAAAUGCGUAGAUAUUCGGAGGAACACCGGUGGCGAAGGCGGCCAACUGGGCUUUAACUGACACUGAGGCACGAAAGCGUGGGGAGCAAACAGGAUUAGAUACCCUGGUA
RNAcentral lists this ribosomal RNA (434 nucleotides) under uncultured Ruminococcus sp. Its description in RNAcentral is "bacterial SSU rRNA". It matches the Rfam family "Bacterial small subunit ribosomal RNA", at positions 341 to 792 of the family's 1533-position model. Lineage: Bacteria; Bacillati; Bacillota; Clostridia; Eubacteriales; Oscillospiraceae. The record is from RNAcentral.